RNAcentral lists this ribosomal RNA (275 nucleotides) under uncultured bacterium. Its description in RNAcentral is "partial 16S ribosomal RNA". It matches the Rfam family "Bacterial small subunit ribosomal RNA", at positions 338 to 628 of the family's 1533-position model. The record is from RNAcentral.
CCUACGGGGGGCUGCAGUUGGGAAUCUUGCACAAUGGGGGAAACCCUGAUGCAGCGACGCCGCGUGGAGGAUGAAGGAUCUAGGUCUGUAAACUCCUUUUGCACGGAAAGACUUAGGACGGUACCGUGUGAAUAAGCACCGGCUAACUACGUGCCAGCAGCCGCGGUAAGACGUAGGGUGCAAGCGUUGUCCGGAUUUACUGGGCGUAAAGCGCUCGUAGGCGGCUCGUUAAGUGUGAAGUGAAAUCUCCAGUGCUCAACACGGAAACUGCUUUA